AAUGCUUUAUGAUUUCAUUCCCAUCUUUCUAUUGUGAACAAUCUCGGAUCUUCGGCGUGACGGCUGGAUCGACCCUGGAUGUGCUGGAUGCUCUACAAUUUUUAUGUGGUGGUAUAAAUCAACACACAGGCAUUACACACUGCCGCCCCAUGUGAGCAUCAGCGUAUCCAGAUUCCAGUUGACAUUUUUUACUCAUUAAGAAAACGUACACAAAGGAAAUGUAGGUGACCAAGAGGUGUGCUCACUUCCAAAUCAAACAGCAUCUACGUCAAACUGCUUUUCUUCAGUCUCUUGAUGCUGGUCUCUGAGGGCUCCAUGUGCUAAUGGAGCUUUGGUUGUGUGUGAGUUUCAGAUGAUGGUGAAGAUAUGGUGAAACUUGAGGAUGAUUAUUUAUUUCUGGAAGGAGUUUUCCAACACUUGAAAGUCUUCAGGACCGAGGACUUGAAAAAGAUGAAACAGGAGAGGCUGAUGAGGGAACUACUGUUUAUAGCAGCUGUAAUGCCAGUGAACAGGAAAUAACUUGUUUCAUAGAUCAUCCACAACAUUAAAUGUAACUGUAAA
Long non-coding RNA from Ictalurus punctatus (channel catfish), 561 nucleotides. Lineage: Eukaryota; Metazoa; Chordata; Actinopteri; Siluriformes; Ictaluridae. The record is from Ensembl.